RNAcentral lists this ribosomal RNA (305 nucleotides) under uncultured bacterium. Its description in RNAcentral is "bacterial SSU rRNA". It matches the Rfam family "Bacterial small subunit ribosomal RNA", at positions 333 to 635 of the family's 1533-position model. The record is from RNAcentral.
CAUGGCCUACGGGGGGCAGCAGUGAGGAAUAUUGGUCAAUGGGCUUACGCCUGAACCAGCCAAGUCGCGUGAGGGAAGACUGCCCUAUGGGUUGUAAACCUCUUUUGUCGGGGAGCAAAGCGAGUCACGUGUGACUCAUUGAGAGUACCCGAAGAAAAAGCAUCGGCUAACUCCGUGCCAGCAGCCGCGGUAAUACGUAGGGAGCGAGCGUUGUCCGGAUUUACUGGGUGUAAAGGGUGCGUAGGCGGGUAAGCAAGUCAGAAGUGAAAUCCAUGGGCUUAACCCAUGAACUGCUUUUGUAACUG